UAACACGUAGGAUUCAAACGUUAUCCGGAUUUACUGGGCGUAAAGCGUGUGCAGGCGGUUUAGUAAGUUGGAUGUGAAAUCUCCGGGCUCAACCUGGAGAGGUCGUCCAAAACUGCUAAACUAGAGGACGGUAGAGGGAGGUGGUAUUCCAAGUGUAGCGGUGAAAUGCGUAGAUACUUGGAGGAACACCAGUGGCGAAGGCGGCCUCCUGGGCCGUUCCUGACGCUCAGACACGAAAGCUAGGGGAGCGAACGGGAUUAGACACCCCGGUAGUCCUAGCCGUAAACGAUGUAGACUUGGUGUUGGUGGGGUGAAAGCCAUCAGUGCCGUAGCUAACGCGAUAAGUCUACCGCCUGGGGAUUACGACCGCAAGGUUA
Molecule: ribosomal RNA, 377 nt
Filed under: uncultured Anaerolineae bacterium
Lineage: Bacteria; Bacillati; Chloroflexota; Anaerolineae
Description: bacterial SSU rRNA
Rfam family: Bacterial small subunit ribosomal RNA
Source: RNAcentral